GCCGCCGUAGCUCAGCGGGUAGGCCGAUGUGGCCCAAAGCGCCAGCCUUGUAAGCUGGUGGUCGCGGGUUCGAGUCCCGCCGGCGGCU
RNAcentral lists this transfer RNA (88 nucleotides) under Fervidicoccus fontis. Its description in RNAcentral is "tRNA-Thr". It matches the Rfam family "tRNA". Rfam says of the family: Transfer RNA (tRNA) molecules are approximately 80 nucleotides in length. Their secondary structure includes four short double-helical elements and three loops (D, anti-codon, and T loops). Further hydrogen bonds mediate the characteristic L-shaped molecular structure. tRNAs have two regions of fundamental functional importance: the anti-codon, which is responsible for specific mRNA codon recognition, and the 3' end, to which the tRNAs corresponding amino acid is attached (by aminoacyl-tRNA synthetases). tRNAs cope with the degeneracy of the genetic code in two manners: having more than one tRNA (with a specific anti-codon) for a particular amino acid; and 'wobble' base-pairing, i.e. permitting non-standard base-pairing at the 3rd anti-codon position. The record is from RNAcentral. Lineage: Archaea; Thermoproteati; Thermoproteota; Thermoprotei; Fervidicoccales; Fervidicoccaceae.